Molecule: ribosomal RNA, 837 nt
Filed under: Salmonella enterica
Lineage: Bacteria; Pseudomonadati; Pseudomonadota; Gammaproteobacteria; Enterobacterales; Enterobacteriaceae
Also listed under: 2 other names
Description: partial 23S ribosomal RNA
Rfam family: Bacterial large subunit ribosomal RNA
Source: RNAcentral
AGACCCGAAACCCGGUGAUCUAGCCAUGGGCAGGUUGAAGGUUGGGUAACACUAACUGGAGGACCGAACCGACUAAUGUUGAAAAAUUAGCGGAUGACCUGUGGCUGGGGGUGAAAGGCCAAUCAAACCGGGAGAUAGCUGGUUCUCCCCGAAAGCUAUUUAGGUAGCGCCUCGUGAAUUCAUCUCCGGGGGUAGAGCACUGUUUCGGCUAGGGGGCCAUCCCGGCUUACCAACCCGAUGCAAACUGCGAAUACCGGAGAAUGUUAUCACGGGAGACACACGGCGGGUGCUAACGUCCGUCGUGAAGAGGGAAACAACCCAGACCGCCAGCUAAGGUCCCAAAGUCAUGGUUAAGUGGGAAACGAUGUGGGAAGGCCCAGACAGCCAGGAUGUUGGCUUAGAAGCAGCCAUCAUUUAAAGAAAGCGUAAUAGCUCACUGGUCGAGUCGGCCUGCGCGGAAGAUGUAACGGGGCUAAACCAUGCACCGAAGCUGCGGCAGCGAACGUAUCACCCAAGACAACUUUACGGAGUUGACGAUUGACGGAGCGAAGCGACGUCAAAGCGUUCAUUAAAGUCGAGUUGGCUUAGGGAUACGUUCGUUGGGUAGGGGAGCGUUCUGUAAGCCUGUGAAGGUGUGUCGUGAGGCAUGCUGGAGGUAUCAGAAGUGCGAAUGCUGACAUAAGUAACGAUAAAGCGGGUGAAAAGCCCGCUCGCCGGAAGACCAAGGGUUCCUGUCCAACGUUAAUCGGGGCAGGGUGAGUCGACCCCUAAGGCGAGGCCGAAAGGCGUAGUCGAUGGGAAACGGGUUAAUAUUCCCGUACUUGGUGUUACUGCGAA